This 76-nucleotide transfer RNA is filed under the name Opitutales bacterium. RNAcentral's name for it is "tRNA-Ile". It matches the Rfam family "tRNA". From Rfam's summary of the family: Transfer RNA (tRNA) molecules are approximately 80 nucleotides in length. Their secondary structure includes four short double-helical elements and three loops (D, anti-codon, and T loops). Further hydrogen bonds mediate the characteristic L-shaped molecular structure. tRNAs have two regions of fundamental functional importance: the anti-codon, which is responsible for specific mRNA codon recognition, and the 3' end, to which the tRNAs corresponding amino acid is attached (by aminoacyl-tRNA synthetases). tRNAs cope with the degeneracy of the genetic code in two manners: having more than one tRNA (with a specific anti-codon) for a particular amino acid; and 'wobble' base-pairing, i.e. permitting non-standard base-pairing at the 3rd anti-codon position. Lineage: Bacteria; Pseudomonadati; Verrucomicrobiota; Opitutia; Opitutales. The record is from RNAcentral.
GGGCCCAUAGCUCAACGGUUAGAGCACGGAACUCAUAAUUCCUUGGUUCUGGGUUCAAAUCCCGGUGGGCCCACCA